AAGAAAUUAGUUAAAUGUAACAUUAGUAUGUCAUGCUAAAAUUAUUGGUACAGUCCAAUAUUUCUUA
This 67-nucleotide transfer RNA is filed under the name Stenonema femoratum. RNAcentral describes it as "tRNA-Asp". The record is from RNAcentral. Lineage: Eukaryota; Metazoa; Arthropoda; Insecta; Ephemeroptera; Heptageniidae.